GAUGAACGCUGGCGGCGUGCCUAAUACAUGCAAGUCGAGCGAAUGGAUUGAGAGCUUGCUCUUAUGAAGUUAGCGGCGGACGGGUGAGUAACACGUGGGUAACCUGCCCAUAAGACUGGGAUAACUCCGGGAAACCGGGGCUAAUACCGGAUAACAUUUUGAACCGCAUGGUUCGAAAUUGAAAGGCGGCUUCGGCUGUCACUUAUGGCUGGACCCGCGUCGCAUUAGCUAGUUGGUGAGGUAACGGCUCACCAAGGCAACGAUGCGUAGCCGGCCUGAGAGGGUGAUCUGCCACGCUGGGACUGCGACACGGCCCAGGCUCCUACGGGAGGCAGCAGUAGGGAAUCUUCCGCAAUGGACGAAAGUCUGACGGAGCAACGCCGCGUGAGUGAUGAAGGCUCUCGGGUCGUAAAACUCUGUUGUUAGGGAAGAACAAGUGCUAGUUGAAUAAGCUGGCACCUUGACGGUACCUAACCAGAAAGCCACGGCUAACUACGUGCCAGCCGCCGCCGUAA
RNAcentral lists this ribosomal RNA (515 nucleotides) under uncultured bacterium. RNAcentral's name for it is "partial 16S ribosomal RNA". It matches the Rfam family "Bacterial small subunit ribosomal RNA", at positions 28 to 523 of the family's 1533-position model. The record is from RNAcentral.